UCUGAUGUGAAAGCCCACGGCUCAACCGUGGAGGGUCAUUGGAAACUGGGGAACUUGAGUGCAGAAGAGAAAAGCGGAAUUCCACGUGUAGCGGUGAAAUGCGUAGAGAUGUGGAGGAACACCAGUGGCGAAGGCGGCUUUUUGGUCUGUAACUGACGCUGAGGCGCGAAAGCGUGGGGAGCAAACAGGAUUAGAUACC
Molecule: ribosomal RNA, 199 nt
Filed under: Bacillus sp. (in: firmicutes)
Lineage: Bacteria; Bacillati; Bacillota; Bacilli; Caryophanales; Bacillaceae
Description: Bacillus sp. (in: Bacteria) partial 16S ribosomal RNA
Rfam family: Bacterial small subunit ribosomal RNA
Source: RNAcentral